RNAcentral lists this ribosomal RNA (466 nucleotides) under uncultured bacterium. RNAcentral describes it as "partial 16S ribosomal RNA". It matches the Rfam family "Bacterial small subunit ribosomal RNA", at positions 329 to 792 of the family's 1533-position model. The record is from RNAcentral.
UGCCAGACUCCUACGGGAGGCAGCAGUGAGGAAUAUUGGUCAAUGGGCGGGAGCCUGAACCAGCCAAGUCGCGUGAGGGAAGACGGUCCUACGGAUUGUAAACCUCUUUUGCCGGGGAGCAACGGGGUCCUUGCGAGGGCCCGAUGAGAGUACCCGGAGAAAAAGCAUCGGCUAACUCCGUGCCAGCAGCCGCGGUAAUACGGAGGAUGCGAGCGUUAUCCGGAUUUAUUGGGUUUAAAGGGUGCGUAGGCGGGCUGGUAAGUCAGGGGUCAAAGGGCGGGGCUCAACCCCGGCCUGCCGUUGAAACUGGCGCUCUUGAGUGGAAGAGAAGUAUGCGGAAUGCGUGGUGUAGCGGUGAAAUGCAUAGAUAUCACGCAGAACCCCGAUUGCGAAGGCAGCAUGCCGGCUUCCGACUGACGCUGAAGCACGAAAGCGUGGGGAUCGAACAGGAUUAGAUACCCUAGUA